RNAcentral lists this transfer RNA (72 nucleotides) under Salmo salar (Atlantic salmon). It matches the Rfam family "tRNA". From Rfam's summary of the family: Transfer RNA (tRNA) molecules are approximately 80 nucleotides in length. Their secondary structure includes four short double-helical elements and three loops (D, anti-codon, and T loops). Lineage: Eukaryota; Metazoa; Chordata; Actinopteri; Salmoniformes; Salmonidae. The record is from Rfam by way of RNAcentral.
UCACCUGUAGCUCAGUUGGUAGAGCAUGGUGUUUGCAAUGCCAGGGUUGUGGGUUUGAUUCCCACGGGGGAC